UUGUGGAGGAGGACGCCGAAGGUGGGGCUAAUGACUGGGGUGAAGUCGUAACAAGGUAGCCGUACCGGAAGGUGCGGCUGGAUCACCUCCUAACAGGGAGACAACAAAAUGUUUAAUAUUAUUAUUUUGUCACCUUAGGUCGAUCGGUAUCUCACGUUCUUAAUUUAUUAAGGAUUUCAUUUCCUAAGUUUUUCUAGGUCACACCCAUUAUUUUCCUGGGCCAUUAGCUCAGGUGGUUAGAGCGCACCCCUGAUAAGGGUGAGGUCCCUGGUUCAAGUCCAGGAUGGCCCAUCUCUCUAUGUUGGGGGUAUAGCUCAGUUGGUAGAGCGCCUGCUUUGCAAGCAGGAUGUCAGCGGUUCGAGUCCGCUUACCUCCACUGAUUACCACCUCUAGCAUUAUUAGUAGAAAGGAAACUUAUUGAGUUGUGAUCAAAUUCUGAACGAAUCUAGCUUCCUAAUGAAACCAUUAAGAUGCUGGACUCAUUGAAUUAAUUUCAUUGUUUUCAGAGAACCUUGACAACUGCAUAGUAAAUUUUUAAAGACAAUAAGCAUCUUUAAUGAUGCAGAUUUAUUAUUUGUGCGAAUGCAUUAAUAACAAUUCUAUUAAGCUGAUGCUUCAAUUAUUGAAGUUAUUGGUCAAGCUACAA
Molecule: unclassified non-coding RNA, 646 nt
Filed under: uncultured Prochlorococcus sp.
Lineage: Bacteria; Bacillati; Cyanobacteriota; Cyanophyceae; Synechococcales; Prochlorococcaceae
Description: partial 16S-23S ribosomal RNA intergenic spacer; may also contain 16S ribosomal RNA and 23S ribosomal RNA
Rfam family: tRNA (bases 304-376)
Source: RNAcentral